This 173-nucleotide non-coding RNA is filed under the name human gut metagenome. The record is from RNAcentral.
AAUAUCGGUGCGUAUGGAAUCAUACGAUAAUAGGGAAUUGGGUGAAAAUCCCAAACAGUCCUGCUGCCGUAAUGAAUGAGCGCCUCUCCUGCCGCAAGGUGACCACUGGAUGAACUCCGGGAAGGGGAGAGUGACGCGAUGAAUUCAAAGUCGGAAAACCUGCCGGUGUUGGU